GGCGGACGGGUGAGUAACGCGUGGGAACGUGCCCUGUCUCUGCGGAAUAGCCACUGGAAACGGUGAGUAAUACCGCAUACGCCCUUCGGGGGAAAGAUUUAUCGGAGAAGGAUCGGCCCGCGUUAGAUUAGGUAGUUGGUGGGGUAGAUGGCCUACCAGAGCGCUACGAUCUAUAGCUGGUGUUGGAGAGGAUGAUCGAGCCACACUGGGACUGAGACACGGCCCAGACUACUACGGGAGGCAGCAGUGGGGAAUCUUAGACAAUGGGCGCAAGCCUGAUCUAGCCAUGCCGCGUGAGUGAUGAAGGCCUUAGGGUCGUAAAGCUCUUUCGCUGGGGAAGAUAAUGACUGUACCCAGUAAAGAAACCCCGGCUAACUCCGUGCCAGCAGCCGCGGUAAUACGGAGGGGGUUAGCGUUGUUCGGAAUUACUGGGCGUAAAGCGCGCGUAGGCGGAUCAGAAAGUUGGGGGUGAAAUCCCGGGGCUCAACCUCGGAACUGCCUCCAAAACUCCUGGUCUUGAGUUCGAGAGAGGUGAGUGGAAUUCCGAGUGUAGAGGUGAAAUUCGUAGAUAUUCGGAGGAACACCAGUGGCGAAGGCGGCUCACUGGCUCGAUACUGACGCUGAGGUGCGAAAGUGUGGGGAGCAAACAGGAUUAGAUACCCUGGUAGUCCACACCGUAAACGAUGAAUGCCAGUCGUCGGCAAGCAUGCUUGUCGGUGACACACCUAACGGAUUAAGCAUUCCGCCUGGGGAGUACGGUCGCAAGAUUAAAACUCAAAGGAAUUGACGGCCGC
This 794-nucleotide ribosomal RNA is filed under the name Halomonas sp. A16. Its description in RNAcentral is "bacterial SSU rRNA". It matches the Rfam family "Bacterial small subunit ribosomal RNA", at positions 97 to 920 of the family's 1533-position model. The record is from RNAcentral. Lineage: Bacteria; Pseudomonadati; Pseudomonadota; Gammaproteobacteria; Oceanospirillales; Halomonadaceae. RNAcentral also lists the same sequence under 1 other name.